Molecule: ribosomal RNA, 464 nt
Filed under: uncultured bacterium
Lineage: Bacteria
Description: partial 16S ribosomal RNA
Rfam family: Bacterial small subunit ribosomal RNA
Source: RNAcentral
GACGAACGCUGGCGGCGUGCUUAACACAUGCAAGUCGAACGGAAAGGCCCUGCUUGCCGGGUACUCGAGUGGCGAACGGGUGAGUAACACGUGGGUGAUCUGCCCUUCACUUCGGGAUAAGCCUGGGAAACUGGGUCUAAUACCGGAUAGGAGCCAUUUUUAGUGUGAUGGUUGGAAAGUUUUUUCGGUGUAGGAUGAGCUCGCGGCCUAUCAGCUUGUUGGUGGGGUAAUGGCCUACCAAGGCGGCGACGGGUAGCCGGCCUGAGAGGGUGGACGGCCACAUUGGGACUGAGAUACGGCCCAGACUCCUACGGGAGGCAGCAGUGGGGAAUAUUGCACAAUGGGCGCAAGCCUGAUGCAGCGACGCCGCGUGGGGGAUGACGGCCUUCGGGUUGUAAACUCCUUUCGCUAGGGGCGAAGCUUUUUGUGACGGUACCUAGAUAAGAAGCACCGGCUAACUACGU